Molecule: long non-coding RNA, 911 nt
Filed under: Elaeis guineensis (African oil palm)
Lineage: Eukaryota; Viridiplantae; Streptophyta; Magnoliopsida; Arecales; Arecaceae
Description: long non-coding RNA (EGUI_LNC026422)
Source: RNAcentral
AAAGAUGAAAACAUCUUAUAAUUUCAUUACUAAUGAGAGAACUUUCUAACCAUAUUCAUUAUGUCAAGCAACCCAUAAGCGAUAUAAUGAAUAUAGAAGCAAAAUUGCCGAAGUAUCUACUUGGGUGCACUUGAUAACUUUAUUCAAAAGAGGCAUGUUCGGUUGGAAACAUUACUUAGGUCGAGACAUUGUGUCAUGGGGAAUGGUUUUUUGAUGAGGUUUCAUUAUUUUCCUUGACGAUACACUUUAGUGUUAAUUUGUGAAUCAGGCUGUAGGUUAAAUUCUCUAAUGAAUUAGCAUUUAUGAGCAUGAGACUUGGGAGAAAUAGAAGUAAAAAACUGCUUGAAGUUUGAACGCUUGGAUUCUUACACUCUGCCAUCAGAUGAAGUACAUGUAAACUGAAAUAAGACAAGAUCCAAUAUAUUCUUUAAAAAAAAUAAGAUAAUAUUUCUCUUACCAUAAGAUGGCAACUUUAAAUCUCUGAAGAGAUUAUUGAGCAUUGAUCUAUAAUUUAUGUAACCCUAAUGUUGCGUUUAUAUCCUGUGGCCAUCCAAUUGACUGGCUACUUUGCCGUUAUUUUGUGGCUACUUCAUUCAAAAGCCAGUGCCACAGCGGACUGAAGCCGAGGCUACCACCUUAAUUGCCAAGGUCAGUUUAUGUAGGAUUGCAGAGAGAAGAAGCUACGUGGCACAAUCGAUUUCUUGAUGAAGUCCAGUUUGCGCCGUUGAGCAUUGACCAAAGACCAGAACUCCUCGCAUACGGCUUGGAUCGCAGGUUGAUUCUUAGAUACCAUGUCCUACGGAUUCUGAAGCUGACUUAGUUGCCCAUGGGAGGACGGGACUUUUAUAAUGUUGUCAUAUUAAAUGAAGACAAGUAUCUAUAUAAAUUUUUCCUUUGGUGAAGAUCCCAUA